CUUAUUUAAUUGGGACAGAUUCCGUCUCCAUUCUUUUGCUGCUACCUUUAACUAUAAACUAUGUUUCUCUUGUCAGAGAAUCUAUACUUCUAGGAAUUUUUGCUGUUUUUUUUAGUGUGAAGACUUUCUACGGUCGUUAUAAUAAGGAACUUCCAGUUCAUCAGUUAUUGGUUUGCAUGGUUGACCCAGUACUGGACCUUCAUCUUUGUCUAUUGUCCAUCAGGUUGCACCGUUUACAUGGUUGGUCAAUGCCAG
Non-coding RNA from Pelobates cultripes (western spadefoot toad), 255 nucleotides. NCBI's taxonomy places the organism in Eukaryota, Metazoa, Chordata, Amphibia, Anura, Pelobatidae. The record is from the annotation of a GenBank genome assembly.